Molecule: ribosomal RNA, 497 nt
Filed under: uncultured bacterium
Lineage: Bacteria
Description: partial 16S ribosomal RNA
Rfam family: Bacterial small subunit ribosomal RNA
Source: RNAcentral
GAUGAACGCUGGCGGCGUGCCUAAUACAUGCAAGUCGAGCGAACAGAUGAGGAGCUUGCUCCUCUGACGUUAGCGGCGGACGGGUGAGUAACACGUGGAUAACCUACCUAUAAGACUGGGAUAACUUCGGGAGACCGGAGCUAAUACCGGAUAAUAUAUUGAACCGCAUGGUUCAAUAGUGAAAGACGGUUUUGCUGUCACUUAUAGAUGGAUCCGCGCCGCAUUAGCUAGUUGGUAAGGUAACGGCUUACCAAGGCAACGAUGCGUAGCCGACCUGAGAGGGUGAUCGGCCACACUGGAACUGAGACACGGUCCAGACUUCUACGGGAGGCAGCAGUAGGGAAUCUUCCGCAAUGGGCGAAAGCCUGACGGAGCAACGCCGCGUGAGUGAUGAAGGUCUUCGGAUCGUAAAACUCUGUUAUUAGGGAAGAACAAAUGUGUAAGUAACUAUGCACGUCUUGACGGUACCUAAUCAGAAAGCCACGGCUAACUACGUG